CGUAGGUGCAAGCGUUGUCCGGAAUUAUUGGCGUAAAGAGCUCGUAGGCGGUUUGUCGCGUCUGCUGUGAAAAUCCAGGGCUUAACCCUGGACCUGCAGUGGGUACGGGCAGACUAGAGUGCGGUAGGGGAGAUCGGAAUUCCUGGUGUAGCGGUGAAAUGCGCAGAUAUCAGGAGGAACACCGGUGGCGAAGGCGGAUCUCUGGGCCGUAACUGACGCUGAGGAGCGAAAGCAUGGGGAGCGAACAGG
This 249-nucleotide ribosomal RNA is filed under the name uncultured bacterium. RNAcentral describes it as "partial 16S ribosomal RNA". It matches the Rfam family "Bacterial small subunit ribosomal RNA", at positions 526 to 776 of the family's 1533-position model. The record is from RNAcentral.